This 23-nucleotide non-coding RNA is filed under the name Xenopus tropicalis (tropical clawed frog). The record is from RNAcentral. Lineage: Eukaryota; Metazoa; Chordata; Amphibia; Anura; Pipidae. RNAcentral also lists the same sequence under 4 other names.
GGUGUAUGUGCUUGGCUGAGGAG